RNAcentral lists this non-coding RNA (28 nucleotides) under Rattus norvegicus (Norway rat). Lineage: Eukaryota; Metazoa; Chordata; Mammalia; Rodentia; Muridae. The record is from RNAcentral.
UCCGUUAGCCUGGAGAUAGUCUGGCGUG